This 2371-nucleotide ribosomal RNA is filed under the name Triticum aestivum (bread wheat). RNAcentral describes it as "partial small subunit ribosomal RNA". The record is from RNAcentral. Lineage: Eukaryota; Viridiplantae; Streptophyta; Magnoliopsida; Poales; Poaceae.
CACUUUCUCUUUUCUUCCUGGUGCUCGAAGGGUCGGGGGUUUUUACGGGGUCAGAAGAGUGGUGGGCCGGCGGAGGGUACUGGUCUUUGGGGGCCGGUGGUGCUCGGAUGGUGGGGCCGGCGGCGACCGGAGGUAGGGGCCGGCGACGACCGGAGGUAGGGGCUGGCGGCGCUCCGAGGGUGGGGGCCGGCGAUGCUCCGAGGGUGGGGGCCAGUAGAGACCGGAGGUAGGGGUUGGCGGCGCUCCGAGGGUGGAGGCGGGUGGCGAUCGGAGGUAGGGGCCGGCGGCGCUCCGAGGGUGGGGGCCGGUGGCGCUCGGAGUUAGGGGCCGGCGGCGCUCGCGGUGGCGGGACGCACGGGCGUAUACAGGGUAAGGGCCGCUGUUCCAGCGGCGGAUACCUAGAGAGGACAUCGGAGGCAAACACGAUCACCUCCCUCUUUAGUCUCUACCUCAACCGCUUAAAGAACACGGAAAAGACAAGUUACCUAUCUACCUACCUACCCACAUCAAGAGACUUACAUUGGACACUAGGUCACGACGAGUUGAAGGAGACUUGGGGAUUAGAACAAGACGAGGGUCAGUAAUAGUCAAGCUGUUUUCCAACAUCUUUUCCAGUCUCAACUCUGAUCAACAGUAAUUCCAAUCGGGGAAACAAAGUCUAAGUCAUAGAGGUAAUGGUCAUAUUUUUUUUCCCGGUCGCCGGGUUAGGAUCACGGCGAGUACUAGAGGGAGAGGUUCGUGGCGUGGGUAAUUCGUGGGUGUGUACCCGUUUAGGACCGCGGCGAGCACUAGAGACGGAGGCAGUCAAGGUGAAGCGGCCUCGUUAGUCAGAUCUCCUCCUCCACAUCGGCCAGGAGGACUAGAGGCUGCAGAAUAAGGUUGAGGUUUUUUUAAGAAAAACUCAAGAUAAGAAUCAGUGUCAUGUGUACGUCGAAGAUUUGAAGAACAGGUCAGUAAGAUCAUGACUACUUCUAGCUCAACUAACUUUAAUACAUCAGCUAAUGACUCUGGGAAUGAUCAGGAAGGUAUAUAUCUUGAAUACGGACUAUCCCUGUACUGAAUAGAGAAACAACGGACGAACAAAAACAUUUUAAGAAACUUGAAUGAAUCCACUAUAUAAACCUGGAAACGGAGUAAUCAUGUUGUAGUGUGAGGUAUCGGCCCGUGCUCUUUUCGACGCACGUCCGGUGGGAUACGAGGCAGGAGAUAGGCGGAGUCAGUAGAGGGAGAGUAAGAGAGAGACGAGGCACACACACACGUCCCUCACCCUCCUCUAUCUCGUCCCCGCACCCUCCGGGAAGGUGCCACUUACGUAUACGUAGAAGGUACCUCUAAGAAGUCAUGUCUCUUCGAAGUCAUACUCUUUUUUACCCAGUAAUCAAGUAGGUAUACGUUGGAGGGCGCACCAGUAGGUAAAAAUAAACCUCGGAUGAGUGAUGUUUCGUGUUUUCUCCAACCACGAGUGGAAGAAACUCUGGCGGCGGGUGAGGGUGUAAAUGUCCGAGAUGCUGUUCUGGAUGACGGAGCCGUGGCGGUGGCUAACACCUCAAACUUCAUCGCCUCUGCUGUUGGUAUACAUCUAGCCGCUCACGCCCUAGUUGGAGUCGUCGUCGGUCUUCGUCGCGUAAGUCGAGCGGGCGCAGCAGAUGGUCCUGACGCUGUAGAUUGAGGAACUGCUGCAGAAGUCGUGGUAGCUACGCGUGUGGCCGUCACUCUAGAAGUUCGGCCGGCACAACACAUAAGACCAAUCAACCACACACAUAAUACAACGGGAGUUCGACAUACUCUCCGGCGGGUGUCUCGGCUCCUUCAGCGGCUAGACCAACUCCAACGCCGUUUUUGUACUACGUGUUCAAGUAAAAAACAUACGAAAAAUCAUGUAGAUGAAGGACUUCCAGACUUAUACAACGGGGGUGGUACGGCUAAAUGACGACGCUGGAGCAACUAAGGGGCGGAAGCUUGACGAGGGAGUUAGGGGAGGUACCUGGUGGCGGCUAUCACCCGACGUGGAAGGUGCCCUUCGGUACACUGGCACAUCUACGUGUAGAAGUAACUCAGCGAGUGACGCGUAUACACACACAACACAAGCACGCACGCACCGGCGCUGGUACGAAGUGUAAAGCCACAACAGAUACACACCAGCACGCCCGCAGAGUGGAGUUUGUGUAGGGUCCGGCCACGUGCUCAACGACUCCUUUGCGGGUUCCAACACCGGUGAGCUGGUGUUGAAGCAGAGGACCUUCCACAGCCUACACCUGUCGGUCUUGCUCAAGUUCAGAUACACCAAGUAGCUCCUCUUUUUCUUCUCCUUGAGUUGAACAAAGAGACACCUGUUCCGGUCUUCUUUAACACGAGACUUGUACGAACAACU